RNAcentral lists this ribosomal RNA (253 nucleotides) under uncultured bacterium. RNAcentral describes it as "partial 16S ribosomal RNA". It matches the Rfam family "Bacterial small subunit ribosomal RNA", at positions 524 to 776 of the family's 1533-position model. The record is from RNAcentral.
UACGUAGGUGGCAAGCGUUGUCCGGAUUUACUGGGCGUAAAGAGCGCGCAGGCGGUCGUUCAAGUCGCGUGUGAAAGCCCCCGGCUCAACUGGGGAGGGUCACGCGAUACUGAUCGACUCGAAGGCAGGAGAGGGAAGUGGAAUUCCCGGUGUAGUGGUGAAAUGCGUAGAUAUCGGGAGGAACACCAACGGCGAAGGCAGCUCGCUAGGACGGUACUGACGCUGAGACGCGAAAGCGUGGGGAGCGAACAGG